AACGAACGCUGGCGGCAGGCCUAACACAUGCAAGUCGAGCGAGCAUUUCGGUGCUAGCGGCGGACGGGUGAGUAACGCGUGGGAACGUGCCCUUUUCUGCGGAAUAGUCCUGGGAAACUGGGGGUAAUACCGCAUACGCCCUUUUGGGGAAGGAUUUAUCGGAGAAGGAUCGGCCCGCGUUGGAUUAGGUAGUUGGUGGGGUAAUGGCCCACCAAGCCGACGAUCCAUAGCUGGUUUGAGAGGAUGAUCAGCCACACUGGGACUGAGACACGGCCCAGACUCCUACGGGAGGCAGCAGUGGGGAAUCUUAGACAAUGGGGGCAACCCUGAUCUAGCCAUGCCGCGUGAGUGAUGAAGGCCUUAGGGUUGUAAAGCUCUUUCAGCUGGGAAGAUAAUGACGGUACCAGCAGAAGAAGCCCCGGCUAACUCCGUG
This 433-nucleotide ribosomal RNA is filed under the name uncultured bacterium. Its description in RNAcentral is "partial 16S ribosomal RNA". It matches the Rfam family "Bacterial small subunit ribosomal RNA", at positions 29 to 507 of the family's 1533-position model. The record is from RNAcentral.